GUGUUAUGUCAUUCAUACAAUUGGAAAGCAUAGUGGAUGACAAAUGAAAAGUUACUAAAACUAUGAUCAAUUCCAAAACGUUUGAUAAAAAUUGCUUCAAACACAUUUAAUUUAUUGGAAUUUAUAGGAUUACUAAGUGUGGAGCUAGUAAAUUUGUUAAAAAGUCAAUUACUUCCUAACAUGGAUGAGUAUUUCAAAACUUACAGUGUGGUUAUGCUACUAAGUUAAAAGAUUAAUAUAUUUAUAUAUAUAUUAAUAUAUAUUUUAGGAUUUUUACAGAUGUGUACCAGAUGUCCCAGUGAUUUUGGAGAGAUAGUUGCUUCUUUUUCUUGCCCUAUGUAUGGUCACUGACAUUGAAAAACCCUUAAAUCGCCACUAGGGGGCUUUGUUUCUCAGUGAAACGUUUCUGUGGCCUGGCAUGACAGGUUGCUUUAUGGAAGCCCAUUUCCGCCAUGAAAGAAAAAAUAAAAGACCAGCAGGAGUCAUAAUUAAGUCAUAAUUUCGACUUUCAAAGUCAUAGUUUCAACUUUCAAAGUCAUAAUUAUGAGAUUCAAAUUCAUAAUUAUGAGAUUCAAAGUCAUAAUUUCGACUUUCAAAGUCAUAAUUUCAACUUUCAAAGUCAUAAUUAUGAGAUUCAAAGUCAUAAUUUCGACUUUCAAAGUCAUAAUUAUGAGAUACCGGAGCAGUUAGAGACAACCCCACCAGAAAAACAGCAUGCUCCAGCAUCCAGUUAAAUAUGAUCCUAAAUCCAAGGAUACCUACAGGGGCUAAACAGACAGACAGAGGAGGUUCCUUUGACCUGAACCUAAACCUAAACAGAGGAUGGAUGAGAUAUAUGACUUCUUAAAAUCACGGGAUGUUUCAGAGGAAGUCAUACAACGACUGGAAAAGGAUAAGAUUGACUUCAGUGUCCUUCUGCUCAUGACAGAUGAGCAGCUUAAGGAUUAUCUCCCAUCAUAUGGUGAUCGACUUGCACUUCUUGGAUAUUGCAGACGGAGGGAAAAUGAUCCUGCUGGCCGGAAAUAAAAACUUUUUGACCGAUUGAGAGCCAAGAUUUCAAGGAACAAAGGCAACG
Long non-coding RNA from Girardinichthys multiradiatus, 1075 nucleotides. RefSeq lists it as uncharacterized. The record is from RefSeq and is a predicted model, not a curated record. The transcript has 4 exons. NCBI's taxonomy places the organism in Eukaryota, Metazoa, Chordata, Actinopteri, Cyprinodontiformes, Goodeidae.